AGUAGUGAGUAUUAGGUACUGAUAUACGUCUCGAUGCUAUCCGAAUGAAGGUUAUUGGGGUCUUUUACCCCAGGACACCCUUAAAUACGAUUGCACCCUUAACGAAUCACUAGAAAACGAACGAUCGACGUUAUCCAAUUGGUAUUUCUCAACGGUCUUUCUCCAAGUUAAACUAAAAUCCUUCGAUUUUCAUCUUGUAAAUUUAAAUCCCGUAUAACGUGAUUAUUAUCCUAUGCGUUUUAAGAAAUUGUUAUUAAUCAUAUAAAUAAUUCUUUUCUGUCAAUUAUUCUUGAUACUGCAGUGAUUAAAAAUAAAAAAGAAACCCGAUUACGAAUCAGAAAAAAUCAGUUACGAUGAAGAUGAACAAUUGACAGCAGAUUAAUGCAAAAUUUCAUUUUUAAAUUUUGUGGGAUAAUUCCUGCAUUUUAUUAUAAAGAAUGUUUCAUAAAUACGUAUCAAUAUGUCAGGAGUUAUAUAUCUACGUGAUCAAUUUUGUAUGGUUAUGCUGAAAUGACCGACAUGAUUUUUAUGUAUGACUGUGUAAACGGAAAUAAACUGAAUUCUCAAGGAUCGAAAAAUUUUCUAAUGUUUGUAACGAAAUACGCAAAGAAAGGAAGAUUGUGUUGUUGGGCCGGAAGAUACAAGAAAUAUACAGACGAAUUCAUUUAAUUAUUUCAUUGCGAACGAAGGGAGAAAGAACAUGGGGAGAAUGAAGAAGGGGGAAAAGAAUGAGGGAGUGGGAAGAUGAGAGAAAAUUACCAACUCGUACUCGACACCGGAAGAUGUGAUAUCCGUAGGCUGCUGUUUAUCAAGUCAAUAUUUUUCAACAUUUUUAAUCAUUAUUUAUAAUAAAAUUUUAAUAUGUACUAUAAGUGAUUAAGAUUAUGCUGAUUAAUAUAAAAACAACUUGUAAUAUUGUAAUUACAA
This 927-nucleotide long non-coding RNA is filed under the name Polistes fuscatus (common paper wasp). Its description in RNAcentral is "uncharacterized LOC122521681". Lineage: Eukaryota; Metazoa; Arthropoda; Insecta; Hymenoptera; Vespidae. The record is from RNAcentral.